AUAAAUGGGAAAAGUAACGUUCUCAAUGUAUAAACAGUAUACCCUAAUCAAAGGAAACAAAGUGAAAAACGCUAAAGUGUGUUUAUUAAGUACAAAAUUCACAGUUACUAACUGAUUAAGAGGCAUCAAAGAGCAAAGGUUCUUCUAUGUGCGAAAGCGAAAAGCAAUUGGCAGCAGCCAAAUUGGCGCACAAAGAUCGUUCGCUUCCAGUAAUAAGAACUGCACAGGUACCAGUAGAUUCUUUAUUCGUAUAUUGAUAGCGAACGUUCAAGCCAUCCGCUCUUGCUUUCUCCUCUAAAAUUUUUGAAUAUUUAUCUACUCCGACGCACCCCAUGUAAGUGGCAACUCUUGGUUUUUCCAGAAACCACUAAAACCAGAUUUAAUCCAGAUUUGUACAUAGAACGCAACUUAAUAUGUAAUAUACUAAUAUGUUAUAAAGAAUUUACUUGUGCUACUCUCAUAGUAUUUUGCACAGAACCUCCGGCGAUAAAGUCUGCCUUGUAUUGUUCGAUUAAUUCAUCGUACAUGGGUUUGUGUUUCUCUUGAGCAAGAAUAGCAUCGUUAGAAUUUAACUGGUACUUUUUCAAAAAAUCGUCAUCUACAGUUGCUGAAAUAUCAAGAAGGGGAUUACCCAUGCCUAGCAGUAGACCUUCUCUGAAACGUUUUAUCGUUUUUUUUAUAUUAAUGAAAUUUCGAAAGUUGAAAAUAAAAUGUUAUUUCGAACAGUUAUGAAAA
This is a non-coding RNA of Osmia lignaria (orchard mason bee), 735 nucleotides long. The record is from RefSeq and is a predicted model, not a curated record. NCBI's taxonomy places the organism in Eukaryota, Metazoa, Arthropoda, Insecta, Hymenoptera, Megachilidae.